AUGACCAAGAGCUCCCAAGUUUCUCUCCCUACAUCUUGUGUUCAUUGUUCUGCUAAUCAUGAUUGUGCAAUGAGUUCUUCUGUGUUAUUGAAUGUCGUGAUUGGCAAGUGUGAUCAAGCGACUCCGGUGUCAGCACCGAAGUUUCACAACUGGAAUGAGCUGGAAGAGGAGCCUGCAACAAUACGGCCGAUCCUGCCCCACCUCUUCCCUCUCGUCGCAGACAUUCUCCAUCGGUUCAUUGCACGGGAUCCACUACCCCGACAGCCCCUAGCCGACGACGCCCCGUGUCCCCUGAGUCAAUACGCAGAUGACACGCUCAUCAUCACGAGGGCUAGCGUCGAGGCAACGACUUGGAUGAAGCCUAUCAUGGACAUGUUCUGCAACGCCAUUGGGCUCGUGAUCAAUUUCAACAAGGACGAUGCCAUGGCCGAGGGGUGCCGCAGGACACCGUCAAAUAGCAUGUCCAACCGGACAAUCGUCUUACGUAUCAGCCAGCUCAGCCCUAUCAUGUCCAACAUCAACACAUGUUCCUACAAACAUAAGAAGUCAAACAACGUGUCAUGUGGGCAGAGAAUAUCGCCGCUACAACAAGGACAAGGUGAAGGAGCUCAAGGCUUGAUCCUCAAGUCAGUCCCCCUAAUUUCCAUAUCAAGUAUAUUAGUUGGUUACUGCACCAUAUCCAUAUGA
This 687-nucleotide ribosomal RNA is filed under the name Triticum aestivum (bread wheat). RNAcentral describes it as "partial small subunit ribosomal RNA". Lineage: Eukaryota; Viridiplantae; Streptophyta; Magnoliopsida; Poales; Poaceae. The record is from RNAcentral.